This is a long non-coding RNA of Oncorhynchus tshawytscha (Chinook salmon), 670 nucleotides long. The record is from Ensembl. Lineage: Eukaryota; Metazoa; Chordata; Actinopteri; Salmoniformes; Salmonidae.
CGUCGCUUGACAUUGAGCGCCAUCAAGUGACGUCACUGUGUAAAACACCUCAAUAUUCGUUUAUGAAGACAAAUCACUUCAUAACCUAUAUCUGGCGUUGUGGCAUACACAUCUCUCUCCAUUUUGUUUGUUUGACUACAUAGGAAGUGAUAAAUAACAGGUUAAACGUGGCCCGUCAUAUCCCUUGUAAGUUUGUAUGAGUUCAAAUGAAUGGCCAUUAGAGCUCUACUCACUGGUUCCAGAGCUGAUGAUGGCCUGUCUUACAGAGAAGCUCAUCAGAGAGUUCCUGACCCUUCAGGGGCAGGCAGCACUGUCAACCUACAUCACUGUCAAUCACAUGAGGGGAUGGAUCAUCUUCAAUGUUGAGAAAGCCUUCCUGAAGAAAUUUCAGGAAGAGAGAGGGGAGAAAACCCUGCCUCGUUAAGCUGACAGACAUUGAAGGUGAGGAGUCGGCACAGGCUCGUUAACAUCAAGCAGGAUGUUUGGAGAGAGCUCAAUGAGGAACGAUGCCCGUCUCUCCGGUCUACUGGAAAGGAAUGACCAGCUUAUCUUAUCCCUGUUUGUGACUAUGUUCAGUGUAAUACUGUCGUAAUAGAGGCAUGCUGUGUGUUUCAUAAGAAAUACAUGCAGUGCAUUCAGAAAGUAUUCAUACCCCUUGACUUAUUCCACA